Molecule: ribosomal RNA, 387 nt
Filed under: uncultured bacterium
Lineage: Bacteria
Description: bacterial SSU rRNA
Rfam family: Bacterial small subunit ribosomal RNA
Source: RNAcentral
GACGAACGCUGGCGGCGUGCUUAACACAUGCAAGUCGAGCGGUAAGGCUCCUUCGGGAGUACACGAGCGGCGAACGGGUGAGUAACACGUGAGCAAUCUGCCCAUCUCUUUGGAAUAAGCGUUGGAAACGACGUCUAAUGCCGAAUACGACCUCCUUUCGCAUGAUCGGAGGUGGAAAGCUCCGGCGGAGAUGGAUGAGCUCGCGGCCUAUCAGCUAGUUGGUGAGGUAACGGCCCACCAAGGCGACGACGGGUAGCCGGCCUGAGAGGGCGACCGGCCACACUGGGACUGAGACACGGCCCAGACUCCUACGGGAGGCAGCAGUGGGGAAUCUUGCGCAAUGGGCGAAAGCCUGACGCAGCGACGCCGCGUGAGGGAUGACGGCCU